Motacilla alba alba is the source of this 1097-nucleotide non-coding RNA. The record is from the annotation of a RefSeq genome assembly. NCBI's taxonomy places the organism in Eukaryota, Metazoa, Chordata, Aves, Passeriformes, Motacillidae.
GUGUGGAUUAUUUUAACCUAUCAGAAAACUGAACAGGAUCCUGAAAGACUAUUCAAGACAGCUGGCCUGCCAUGGAAGGGGAAACAAAGGGAUUUGUUUUAGUUCCCUGACAAAGGGAAAGCACCUCAAAUAAAGAAUGGAUGAUGUUUGUGAUUCCAAAAACAGUAACGGUUUCUAAAGUUUGUGCUUAUAGUAAGGCAGCUGCAGUGCAUCCCGUCUCUUAGCUUAUCAUACAUCCCUUUGUCACUGUGAACAGUGCUGAUAUGCGUUUUGGCAGUGGCACAAAACUUACAGUAAUAGGGAAGAAUGAUGAAAUCAUACCUCCAGCGGUGGCCAUCUUUUCCCCGUCAAAGCAGGAGAUCCAGGAGAAGAGCAAGGCCACGCUGGUGUGCCUGGCCUCUGGUUUCUACCCUGACCACCUGACUCUGGUCUGGAGGGUGAAUGGUGUGAAAAGGACCGAAGGGGUGGGGACAGACGAGUCCUCCACACAGAAUGGGAGCACCUACUCCCGGACCAGCCGACUGAGGAUGCCAGCCUGGGAAUGGUUCAACCCUCUGAAUCGCUUUGAGUGUGUUGCCAUUUUUUUUCAGAAUGGAACAACAGCAUCAAUAAACAAAUUUAUCCGUGGUGAUGCUGGUUGUGCACUCACAGAAGAGUCGUACUUGCGGUAUGGAAAUUCCCUGAAGCUCACUUACCUCAUCCUCUGUGGCAAAGCCUUGGUCUAUGCAGUUUUGGUGAGUGGGCUGGUGUGGACGGCCAAGGUAAGUCAGAGUGGCCCUGGAAGGCUGGGCUUACUCACUAAGGAUCAGUGGAUGCAGGCUGAACCUCUUCUCAGAGGUGUGGCUGUUGUGCAGGUGCUCUGCCAGGCUUUGUGCAGCUCAGCUUGAAGAAGCACAAGUGAUGGGUUUUCUCUUACUGUUUUUGCAGAACUCAAAUAAAAUCAGUGCUAUCUAGCAGAGAAAUUCCUUCUCACAAUCCUCUUUAAACACAUGAACAAGAUGAGAAUUAAGGACAAGAUGCCCAGAAAUUAAAUGAGGGAAAUAUCAGAUAUAUCACACAUUUGUGUAACCAUUGUAAAGGGGCUUACACCUGCAGCA